UACGAAGGGGGCUAGCGUUGCUCGGAAUCACUGGGCGUAAAGCGCACGUAGGCGGCUUUCUAAGUCAGGGGUGAAAUCCUGGAGCUCAACUCCAGAACUGCCUUUGAUACUGGAGAGCUUGAGUCCGGAAGAGGUGAGUGGAACUCCGAGUGUAGAGGUGAAAUUCGUAGAUAUUCGCAAGAACACCAGUGGCGAAGGCGGCCAACUGGUCCGGUACUGACGCUGAGGUGCGAAAGCGUGGGGAGCAAACAGG
This 253-nucleotide ribosomal RNA is filed under the name uncultured bacterium. RNAcentral describes it as "partial 16S ribosomal RNA". It matches the Rfam family "Bacterial small subunit ribosomal RNA", at positions 524 to 776 of the family's 1533-position model. The record is from RNAcentral.